AUGGGUGUCCCUAUAUGGGUUCCCCCCUCGUGGGUGUCCCUAUGGAUGUCCCUAUGGGUUCCUCCCCCUCUGGGUGUCCCUCUGGGUGUCCCUAUAUGGGUUCCCCCCUAUGUGGGUGUCCCUAUGGGUGUCCCUAUAUGGGUUCCUCUCCCUCUGGGUGUCCCUAUGGGUGUCCCUAUAUGGGUUCCCCUCCCUCUGGGUAUCCCUAUGGGUUCCCCCCUAUGUGGGUGUCCCUAUGGGUGUCCCUAUGGGUUCCCCUCCUUCUGGGUGUCCCUAUGGGUUCCCUCCCUUAUGAGUUCCCCUUCCUAUGGGUUCCCCCCCCUCUGGGUGUCCCUGUGGGUUCCCCUCCUUCUGGGUGUCCCUAUGGGUUCCCCCCCUCCUCUGGGUGUCCCUAUGGGUGUCCCUAUGGGUGUCCCUAUGGGUUCCCCUCCCUCUGGUUUCCCCCCCACUAUGGAUUCCCCUCCUUAUGGGUGUCCCUAUAUGGGUUCCCCUCCCUCUGGUUAUCCCUAUGGGUUCCCCCCCUAUGUGGGUGUCCCUAUGGGUGUCCCUAUAUGGGUUCCCCCCCCCCAUGGGUGUCCCCAUGGGUGUCCCUAUGGGUCCCCCUCCCUGUGCGUGUCCCUAUGGGUUCCCCCCCCCUCUGGGUAUCCCUAUGGGUGUCCCUAUAUGGGUUCCUCCCCCUAUGGGUGUCCCCAUGGGUUCCCCUCCCUAUGGUUGUCCCUAAGGUUGUCCCUAUGGGUUCCCCCCCCUCUGGGUGUCCCUCUGGGUGUCCCUAUGGGUGUCCCUAUAUGGGUUUCCCUCCCUCUGGGUGUCCUUCUGGGUUCCCUUCCCUAUGGAUGUCCCUAUGGGUGUCCCUAUAUGGGUUCCUCUCCCUAUGGGUGUCCCUAUGGGUGUCCCUAUAUGGGUUCCCCUCCCUCUGGGUAUCCCUAUGGGUGCCCCUAUGGGUUCCCCUCCCUCUGGGUAUCCCUAUGGGUUCCCCCCCCUGUGGGUGUCCCUAUGGGUGUCCCUAUAUGGGUUCCCCUCCCUCUGGGUGUCCCUAUGGAUGUCCCUAUGGAUGUCCCUAUGGGUUCCUCCCCCUGUGGGUGUCCCUAUGGGUGUCCCUAUAUGGGUUCCUCUCCCUAUGGGUAUCCCUAUGUGUUCCCCCCUAUGUGGGUGUCCCUAUGGGUGUCCCUAUAUGGGUUCCCCUCCCUCUGGGUGUCCCUAUGGAUGUCCCUAUGGAUGUCCCUAUGGGUUCCCCUCCCUAUUGGUGUCCCUAUGGGUGUCCCCAUAUGGGUUCCCCUCCCUCUGGGUGUCCCUGUUGGUGUCCCUAUGGGUGUCCCUAUGGUUCCCCCCCCAUGGCUGUCCCUAUAUGACUGUCCCUAUAUGUGCCCCCCCCCAGGAGCUGCCCUGCAGCCCGUUCCGUAUCACGGUGGCUCCGGCCCACGACAGCAGCAAAGUGCGGGCGGAGGGACCCGGCAUCAGCCGCACCGGUCAGUGCGGGAUGGGGACACUGCGGGGCGCUAUGGGGCGCUAUGGGGCGCUAUGGGUCACUGGGGGUCACUGGGGGGUGCUAUGGGGCGCUGUGGGGCGCUGUGGGUCACUGAGGGGCGCUAUGGGAUGCUAUGGGGCGCUAUGGGAUGCUAUGGGUCACUGGGGGGCGCUAUGGGAUGCUAUGGGUCACUGGGGGGCGCUGUGGGAUGCUAUGGGGCGCUAUGGGUCACUGAGGGGCGCUAUGGGGUGCUAUGGGACGCUAUGGGAUGA
Molecule: long non-coding RNA, 1737 nt
Organism: Coturnix japonica (Japanese quail)
Lineage: Eukaryota; Metazoa; Chordata; Aves; Galliformes; Phasianidae
Source: Ensembl